AGCAGCCGCGGUAAUUCCAGCUCCAAUAGCGUAUAUUAAAGUUGUUGCAGUUAAAAAGCUCGUAGUUGAACUUCGGGAUCAAUUAGUUGGUCAUGCCUUGGUAUGUACUGAUUUUAUUGGUUCUCACCUUCUAAAGAACUAUAAUGUCAUUUAUUUGAUGUUGUAGGGAAUUAGGACUGUUACCUUGAAAAAUUAGAGUGUUUAAAGCAGGCUCACGCUUGAAUACAUUAGCAUGGAAUAAUGAAAUAGGACAUCGCAUUCUAUUUUGUUGGUUUCUAGGAUCGAUGUAAUGAUUAAUAGGGAUAGUUGGGGCAUUAGUAUUCAAUUGUCAGAGGUGAAAUUCUUGGAUUUAUUGAAGACUAACUACUGCGAAAGCAUUUGCCAAGGAUGUUUUCAUUAAUCAAGAACGAAAGUUAGGGGAUCGAAGACGAUCAGAUACCGUCGUAGUCUUAACCAUAAACUAUGCCGACUAGGGAUCGGAUGAUGUUAAUUUUUAAUGACUCAUUC
Molecule: ribosomal RNA, 507 nt
Filed under: uncultured Glomus
Lineage: Eukaryota; Fungi; Glomeromycota; Glomeromycetes; Glomerales; Glomeraceae
Description: SSU rRNA
Rfam family: Eukaryotic small subunit ribosomal RNA
Source: RNAcentral